UAGACCCGAAACCAGGUGAUCUACCCUUGGUCAGGUUGAAGUUCAGGUAACACUGAAUGGAGGACCGAACCGACUUACGUUGAAAAGUGAGCGGAUGAACUGAGGGUAGCGGAGAAAUUCCAAUCGAACCUGGAGAUAGCUGGUUCUCUCCGAAAUAGCUUUAGGGCUAGCCUCAAGUGAUGAUUAUUGGAGGUAGAGCACUGUUUGGACGAGGGGCCCCUCUCGGGUUACCGAAUUCAGACAAACUCCGAAUGCCAAUUAAUUUAACUUGGGAGUCAGAACAUGGGUGAUAAGGUCCGUGUUCGAAAGGGAAACAGCCCAGACCACCAGCUAAGGUCCCAAAAUAUAUGUUAAGUGGAAAAGGAUGUGGCGUUGCCCAGACAACUAGGAUGUUGGCUUAGAAGCAGCCAUCAUUUAAAGAGUGCGUAAUAGCUCACUAGUCGAGUGACACUGCGCCGAAAAUGUACCGGGGCUAAACAUAUUACCGAAGCUGUGGAUUGUCCUUUGGACAAUGGUAGGAGAGCGUUCUAAGGGCGUUGAAGCAUGAUCGUAAGGACAUGUGGAGCGCUUAGAAGUGAGAAUGCCGGUGUGAGUAGCGAAAGACGGGUGAGAAUCCCGUCCACCGAUUGACUAAGGUUUCCAGAGGAAGGCUCGUCCGCUCUGGGUUAGUCGGGUCCUAAGCUGAGGCCGACAGGCGUAGGCGAUGGAUAACAGGUUGAUAUUCCUGUACCACCUAUA
This 738-nucleotide ribosomal RNA is filed under the name Staphylococcus aureus. RNAcentral's name for it is "partial 23S ribosomal RNA". It matches the Rfam family "Bacterial large subunit ribosomal RNA", at positions 710 to 1452 of the family's 2925-position model. The record is from RNAcentral. Lineage: Bacteria; Bacillati; Bacillota; Bacilli; Caryophanales; Staphylococcaceae.